This 555-nucleotide ribosomal RNA is filed under the name Triticum aestivum (bread wheat). RNAcentral describes it as "partial small subunit ribosomal RNA". Lineage: Eukaryota; Viridiplantae; Streptophyta; Magnoliopsida; Poales; Poaceae. The record is from RNAcentral.
AUGCUUAAAAUGAAAGGAUUUCCAGACAAAUGGAUAGACUGGGUGAUGGAAACAAUUAGAGGGGGGAAAGUUUGUGUGAAAGUGAAUGAAAAUCUAGGGAAGUAUUUUCCUACUCAUAAAGGGCCAAGGCAGGGAGAUUCCAUGUCACCUCUUAAUUUUGACUUGGCGGCUGAUGCUUUAGCUAUCAUGCUUGAUAAUGCCAGAAAAAAUGGCCUAGUUAAAGGGGUGUUGGAAGAAUAUGCCACAAAUGGGAUUAACAUGUUGCAAUAUGCAGAUGAUACCAUAUUCCUUCUACAAGAUGAUAUAGAUAGUGCACAUAACCUCAAAUAUAUAUUAUGCCUUUUUGAGCAGAUGUCUGGUCUGAAAAUUAAUUUUCAUAAGAGUGAACUUUUCCUUUUUGGGGAGGCCAAGAACAAAAAGGAUGAAUAUUCUAGGAUAUUCACUUGCCCCAUUGGGACUCUGCCAAUGAAACAUUUAGGUCUUCCUGUAGAUUGUAAUAGAAUUAGCAACAAGCACUGGAAACCUCCAAAGAGUAAGAUGGAGAAAAAAAUGUGA